GCCGUCUUAGCUCAGAGUUAGAGCGCGUGGCUUUUAACCACGUGGUCGUUAGUUUCGAUCCCCACAGACGGCG
Molecule: transfer RNA, 73 nt
Filed under: Capsicum baccatum
Lineage: Eukaryota; Viridiplantae; Streptophyta; Magnoliopsida; Solanales; Solanaceae
Rfam family: tRNA
About the family: Transfer RNA (tRNA) molecules are approximately 80 nucleotides in length. Their secondary structure includes four short double-helical elements and three loops (D, anti-codon, and T loops).
Source: Rfam by way of RNAcentral